Molecule: RNA transcript, 2642 nt
Organism: Melopsittacus undulatus (budgerigar)
Lineage: Eukaryota; Metazoa; Chordata; Aves; Psittaciformes; Psittaculidae
Gene: TNS4
Gene name: tensin 4
Exons: 10
Source: RefSeq, a predicted model, not a curated record
CUGGGCUCCCAUUAAAUCCAAGGCUCCCAGAGGACUGAGUCCUUCACGGACCCACCCUUGUGCUGAGUCUAAGAACUCAAGGUGCUGUUGGAGGUGUUGCUGCAGGAGGGGACCAGCGGCUGCAGUGCAGAUUCUUCUGCUUGAGACUGGAGUGAAGGGGUCUGAAGACCUUGGUGGAGGAAAGGAAGAGGGGAAGACAAGGAGGAGAUUUCCCUUGGACUCUCAGCCCUCAAAGCAGGAAGCCAAAGCAUGUCCCAGGUCAUACAGAGCCAUGUGCUGCGUGUUGGACAGACUGUGUGUGUUUCCUCACGGGAGGAGAGCAAGAGUUUGCACCCAGCCGGGUACCAGGGCUGCUCAGCACUGCCCAUGCAGUGCACUUACUACUCCACAGAGGGCUGGGCUGACCCACCGGCCAUGGUGCACCCCAACACACGCCUGCUGCCCCAUGGGGGGCUCUACGGAGCCCACCCUGUGUUUGAGCACAUGGCUCCAAAGGAUACCCCUUUGGAGAGACCGUAUCAGCCAAAGGAGGAGGAGAACCCCAGUGUGGAUGCUGAGGCUCACCUGGGGUCUCUUACCUUGGACAUAGAGAGCCUCAACAAGAUGAUCCUAGAAAUCGAUCCGACCUUUCAGCCGCUCCCAUGCAAGCCAGUGAAGGAUGCAGGGAAAGCUGCUCCUCAGGGUGACACUGCUGCCACCAAGAAACAGGAUCCAGAGGCAAUAGACAUCAAAUACAUAGAGAUGACACCAGGCAGAGCCACGUGUCCCGAGCGGCUGCAGGGCUCCCCCAGCCCUUCGGGCACCCCGUUCUCGAGGUCCCCCCAGGGCAAUGGUUUCCUGUGCCAAAAAGGGGGGCUCAGGGGUAACUACAGCACCAGUGGCAGUGUGGUUUUCUCCAGCCCAUCCAGCCCCAGGCCAACCUCUGCAGCCUCCCCACCCCACAGCAGCGCAGCCGAGUGUGUGGCUGUGCCCCAUCAGUGCCGGACCGACAGCAUCUCCUAUGGCCCCGGCACCCCUGGCACCUCCCCAGGCCUCGACAACCUGCUGAAGCCAGUGCAUGUGGUGAGGGCACAGCAGAGGAGCAGCCGGGUGUCCAUGCUCUCCACCAGCCCUGGUUCGGACACCAGUUACAUCCUUGGAAGCAGCACCUACUCGCUCCAAGACGACUCGGAUGCUCACCCUGCUGCCUGCCCGUCCCCUGCCAGCUCCAUGGGCAGCCCCUGCCCAGCUUCCCCAAGCAUCACCUCUCACUCUGGAGAAGCUUUUGGGCUGAGUCCCCACCAGCACAGGGCAGAUUCCUCCACCAAAGCCAGCACCUCCCCAUCCCAGAAGGGACAGGCCAGCAGCUGCCCCCCCUCCAUCCUCAACUCCUCAGCUGACGUCCCAGUGCUGCUGGUGAACGGGUGCCUGGAACAAGGGGAUGCCUCUUCCAGGCUGGCCAAAGCCCCCCCAGCCUCUGCCAAGCAGGUUCCUGCUCCCACCUGCAGCCCAUCCUCAGGGCUCAGUGGCCUGAACAACGCGCUGUCAGCACCAGCACUCUCCUGCAUCCCGGACAGUCCCCUCAGGGCUGGGCAGCCGACCAUGAAGUUUGUGAUGGACACAUCCAAGUACUGGUUCAAGCCGAGCAUAACUAGGGAGCAAGCAAUCCAGCUGCUGAAGGACAAGGAGCCAGGCACGUUCGUGGUGCGGGACAGCACGUCGUACCGCGGCUCCUUCGGGCUGGCCAUGAAGGUUCUCGUGCCUCCAUCCGGCAGCCAGACAGGCGAUGAGAGCAGUGACCUCGUCCGGCACUUCCUCAUCGAGUCGUCUGCCAAAGGGGUGCACCUGAAAGGAGCCAGCGAGGAGCUGUAUUUCGGGAGCCUCUCUGCCUUCGUGUACCAGCAUGCCAUCACACCACUGGCACUGCCCUGCAAGCUCAGCAUCCCCACCCGAGAUCUUGCUGAUGGAGAAGACAGCCCUGACUGUGCUCUGGAAUCCACACUGGGCUUGCUGAAGAGAACUGCUGGUGAGGAAAUGAGCUGGGGAGGACACCAGGAUAAAGCUGAGCUGGUGAUAGCCACAGCCCUGGGCAUGCAGCCGUGAUUCCAGCUUUAAUCCUUACCUAUCAAACAAGAGGCUCUAUUUUCUAUGUCAUUCCUUCCGGCACCGUUCACAGCAGAAGCUGUCUUUGGAGCUGUGCAAGGCAGUAGGUCACCAAUGGGUGUUGCUGCAAUGUCCCCUCCUGGCUUUAUCACCAGCCUGGAGAUACCUGCAGGUUUUCUUCACCUCCUCAAGUGUGGCCUGCAGGGGAACAUGGCAUUUUUAAAGAAAGGAGGCUUUUGGUCCUCAGGAUGGUGGAAAACGCAGUUCUUGAGGUCACGAGGCUGAUAAAAGGCUGCAAUUCCCACAGUUUUAAAUAGCCUGUGAUUUUUAAGCCUCUCCUACUUGUAUGGAACUAAUAGAUAUUGAACAUCUGGGGUUUCUAGAGCAGGGAUGGGGCAGUUGAGGCUGGUUAAAGCACUGAUGGAAGGCACAUGGAAACAGCACAGCAGGAUGGGGAAGGGUCUUUACCUCUCUUCCACCACCGGUACCCCCAGCCUGGGUGCAGGGGUGGGUGGGCUCCAGCUCUUCAGUUUCCAUCAAAACAAACCUGACCCAUGUCC